GUCUAGGACCCUAUAACCCUUAACACACCCAAUCUCCUCUGAUCUCAGAAGCUAAGCAGGGUAGGGCCUGGUUAGUACUUGGAUGGUAAAAUGGAAAGUGAUAAAGGGGCUGUAGGAA
RNAcentral lists this ribosomal RNA (118 nucleotides) under Microcebus murinus (gray mouse lemur). Lineage: Eukaryota; Metazoa; Chordata; Mammalia; Primates; Cheirogaleidae. The record is from RNAcentral.